ACCCACACACACGCACAACCGUUGAUGAAUGAUAAGUUUCUAAAAUCCCUUUCAAUUACAUUAAAAUUAAAUAUAGUUAUGAACACUCACUGCUCAUAAGAAAAUAUACAAAAUACAGCCUGUGGUUAGUAACAGCUAAAGUUGGGAGCCAUCUGCAGUGCAGACAAUUUUAAGACAGUUAGCUACUCGGAGUAAUAGCAUCCAAUUUAAAACUGAUUAAGCUGAUAGGUGUAGUCCAUGCAGAGAGGUAUGAAAGAUAAUUUAGUAAAAUUUUAAAAUAUACCCUGAAGUCUUUGAUUAUAUAUCUCAAACUUUCUCUCAGGAUUCGGUAAACCACUUUUCUUCAGUCACCACUAACUAAUUGGUGAGUUAACUUCUUACAAAAUAUAGCUGUAUUACAAAUGUACUAAUGUCUGUUUAAUUUAAAGUAAUUUCAACAAACACAACUUUCUUAGCUAACCUAAUGCUAGCUAAUUAACAAACAAACAAACAUAACUUAGCUUUAGCUAGCUAGCUAGCCUAACCAACCUAAUGCUGUACUGUUGAAUGAAAAGUUAUUGCUAAAUAGAUAUUUAGUCUAGCUACACUUUAAAUGUAUUUUCCUUUCAUUGGUUUGGUACAUUUAUGUAGGUAAGGUGUUUCCAUUAAUAAGUGUAAAAUGUUAAAGGCACACUAUGCAUUUUCAGUUAUUUAAUGUGUUUCUUUGAAUGUAUAUGCCAAAUCAGGAACUGUCAUUAUUUUCCACUUCCAGAAAAGAACUCUCUUUGUCUCAGGAGUCGCUUAAAGUGGACAUGAAACACUUCAAGUAUUUAGUAUAAUUGUCGUUCACUGGACAAAUAAGCUGAAGUCCGAGGCUUUUUUCCUCUGUCUGACUGAGGGUACUAUGAAAGCAGAAGCUGUGAGCCGCAAGGAACGAGACAAAUGACGCGCACACCUAGCAGAGCAGCCAGAGGUGGGAAAACAUGCUUACAAGUUCAGGAGCUCUCGACCCAUACCCAUGGGCUCACAAGUCUCAGGCUUUGCAAGUCAGUCUUACUUUACAGCAAAAAAUAUGGAUGCACUCCCAGCAGAGAACAAGACGCAGCUCUACUCUGAACUAUUCUACACUUUGAGAUAUAACCCAGGUAUAAGGGAUACCUUAACCAGCAGCAGCUUGUAUGUAUGCAGCACGUCAUUGUUUUCUUUUUUUCACUUCUACCUUGUCCAUCACUAAACUGAAAAACAAUAGCUGAUCCAUAUCAGGGACUUACUGAGGAUAUUUUUGUUUUAUUCUCCCUCAUAACUCCCCCUGAUAUCUCUAAUACUAUGAACGGGGGAUUUUCUAUGAUGUUCCUGGCUCUCUUUUCAUUUUAAUCAUGACAAUGGGAUCAGAUAAUCCGGGCCCGAGAGCGGCCUUUGAUUGUCCUGAUUGAGACUCUUUUGUUAGACAGAUAUGUAAUAUGCAGUGGUAAGAGGAUUUGGUGCAGUAGAUUGUGUGAUUUAAUCAUGUUUGCGCAGGGAAAGCAGCACUUACAUGCACUCGGGGGGUUAAACCAGUGUAAGACAUAGAGUUUUAGACUCAGUCGUUGAGGGGGGCUUGCUGAAAGGGAGUUUAGGUCAGGGUAAUGGGGUAUUGUUUAAUACAGGGGGCACUAUAGUCUGAGGUUUAUGAGGAUAUAAAGAGUAUUGGGGGAUUUACAGUUGGAGGUGGAAGAAGGCUAAGGGACAGAUCAUUUCUGAUUGAAGAUUUGCAUCAGAGAGCAACUACCUUAACCCACAAGCUGCAAAGACUUGUUUAUUGGCCCAUAUUUCAAUUUCUGUAAAAUCCUUGUUACUCUAUUUAUAUAUUUUAUUUAUUGUGGUUUCUGGGAUUGGAUCAGUUGACAUGAUCCACAAUGACUUUUUUGAAGGAAAUAUUUGAAACCUCUGUGUUUUCACAUUUUUUUUUUUAAGAACAACUUUCACUAUUGUUCCUAUUUAUUCUGUGUUUAUACGAUAUAUCCAUAAAAAAGGUUGUACAAAGUUUAUGUCAUGAUUUGCGUGACUCUGUGUGAGUCUGACCUACUAGUGCUAUAGUGGAUUAUUUUGUUUAUAAAUUGUGUACUGUUGCUUUAAAUUACUUCAAAAAGAGAAAGUGAAAUACUUUGAUUAACACUAAGAAAUGAGAAAGGCCAGGAAUCACAUGGAAAACUGCAUGUUUUAUUGGGAACAUUUCUCCUAUUUCUAAAAUGCUA
Molecule: long non-coding RNA, 2213 nt
Filed under: Astyanax mexicanus (Mexican tetra)
Lineage: Eukaryota; Metazoa; Chordata; Actinopteri; Characiformes; Acestrorhamphidae
Description: lncRNA (ENSAMXG00005025347.1)
Source: RNAcentral